This 227-nucleotide long non-coding RNA is filed under the name Paramuricea clavata. Lineage: Eukaryota; Metazoa; Cnidaria; Anthozoa; Malacalcyonacea; Plexauridae. The record is from RNAcentral.
CUUUAUAUGUGAUAGAGAUUUCUCUUGAUUUACAUAAACUUGAACUUUGAUUUUCUCGACUUAUACACAACGUAUUUUUUGAAAAUUACUUCGCCAAUGAACUUACUAGAUCGAUCGUUUUUGAAGCAAUUUAAAACAUUCGCAGUGCGUGUUUUAUCAGACCUAAAGAUACUCGGCUUCGCCUCGUAUCUUUAUAUCUGAUAAAACACUGCUACUCAUGUUUUAAA